This 209-nucleotide ribosomal RNA is filed under the name Vibrio parahaemolyticus. Its description in RNAcentral is "partial 23S ribosomal RNA". It matches the Rfam family "Bacterial large subunit ribosomal RNA", at positions 592 to 803 of the family's 2925-position model. Lineage: Bacteria; Pseudomonadati; Pseudomonadota; Gammaproteobacteria; Vibrionales; Vibrionaceae. The record is from RNAcentral.
UGUGACUGCGUACCUUUUGUAUAAUGGGUCAGCGACUUAUAUUCAGUGGCAAGGUUAACCAUCUAGGGGAGCCGUAGGGAAACCGAGUCUUAACUGGGCGUUCAGUCUCUGGAUAUAGACCCGAAACCAGGUGAUCUAGCCAUGGGCAGGUUGAAGGUUGAGUAACAUCAACUGGAGGACCGAACCGACUAAUGUUGAAAAAUUAGCGG